Molecule: ribosomal RNA, 250 nt
Filed under: uncultured bacterium
Lineage: Bacteria
Description: partial 16S ribosomal RNA
Rfam family: Bacterial small subunit ribosomal RNA
Source: RNAcentral
GACGAAGGGUCCUAGCGUUGUUCGGAAUUACUGGGCGUAAAGCGCAGGUAGGUGGCUUUUCAAGUCGGGUGUGAAAUCCCAUGGCUUAACCAUGGAACUGCAUUCGAUACUGUUAAGCUUGAAUAUGGGAGGGGAUGGUAGAAUUCCUGGUGUAGUGGUGAAAUACGUAGAUAUCAGGAGGAACAUCUGUGGCGAAGGCGGCCAUCUGGCCCAAUAUUGACACUGAGCUGCGAAAGCAUGGGGAUCAAAC